UACGUAGGGUCCGAGCGUUGUCCGGAAUUAUUGGGCGUAAAGGGCUCGUAGGCGGUUUGUCACGUCGGGAGUGAAAACUCAGGGCUCAACCCUGAGCGUGCUUCCGAUACGGGCAGACUAGAGGUAUGCAGGGGAGAACGGAAUUCCUGGUGUAGCGGUGGAAUGCGCAGAUAUCAGGAGGAACGCCGGUGGCGAAGGCGGUUCUCUGGGCAUUACCUGACGCUGAGGAGCGAAAGCAUGGGGAGCGAACAGG
Molecule: ribosomal RNA, 253 nt
Filed under: uncultured bacterium
Lineage: Bacteria
Description: partial 16S ribosomal RNA
Rfam family: Bacterial small subunit ribosomal RNA
Source: RNAcentral